RNAcentral lists this ribosomal RNA (254 nucleotides) under uncultured bacterium. RNAcentral's name for it is "partial 16S ribosomal RNA". It matches the Rfam family "Bacterial small subunit ribosomal RNA", at positions 524 to 776 of the family's 1533-position model. The record is from RNAcentral.
UACGUAGGUGGCGAGCGUUAUCCGGAUUUAUUGGGUUUAAAGGGAGCGUAGGCGGCUGAUUAAGUCAGCGGUGAAAGGUAGCAGCUCAACUGUUUUACAUGCCGUUGAUACUGGUUAGCUUGGGUUGACAGAAGGCAGAUAGAAUUCCUGGUGUAGCGGUGAAAUGCUUAGAUACCAGGAGGAAUACCGAUUGCGAAGGCAGUCUGCUGCAGUCACACUGACGCUGAGGCUCGAAGGUGCGGGGAUCAAACAGG